AUUGAACGCUGGCGGCAGGCUUAACACAUGCAAGUCGAGCGGAGAUGAGGUGCUUGCGCCUUAUCUUAGCGGCGGACGGGUGAGUAAUGCUUAGGAAUCUGCCUAUUAGUGGGGGACGACAUUCCGAAAGGAAUGCUAAUACCGCAUACGUCCUACGGGAGAAAGCAGGGGAUCUUCGGACCUUGCGCUAAUAGAUGAGCCUAAGUCGGAUUAGCUAGUUGGUGGGGUAAAGGCCUACCAAAGCGACGAUCUGUAGCGGGUCUGAGAGGAUGAUCCGCCACACUGGGACUGGGACACGGCCCAGACUCCUACGGGAGGCAGCAGUGGGGAAUAUUGGACAAUGGGGGGAACCCUGAUCCAGCCAUGCCGCGUGUGUGAAGAAGGCCUUAUGGUUGUAAAGCACUUUAAGCGAGGAGGAGGCUACUGAGACUAAUACUCUUGGAUAGUGGACGUUACUCGCAGAAUAAGCACCGGCUAACUCUGUGCCAGCCGCCGCCGUAA
RNAcentral lists this ribosomal RNA (501 nucleotides) under uncultured bacterium. RNAcentral describes it as "partial 16S ribosomal RNA". It matches the Rfam family "Bacterial small subunit ribosomal RNA", at positions 30 to 523 of the family's 1533-position model. The record is from RNAcentral.